ACCUGUGAAACUCACUUUCUAGUCAUAUAUCAAGCAAGCUGAAAGAUAACCAUCAAAUGCAUCUGAAAUGUUGAAUCACAUAAUGCAUAUCAAAUAGUUCUCACCCUCAAGGAGAAGAAAGAAGCACAGUAGUUAUUUCAUGUUCACCAGUUAAGAAAUCAAAAUUACCUUUUAAGUGUAUCAUGAGCUAUGAUAGAACAGUAGAAUGCUGAAAACAAGUGUGCUAACUUAAAUAUACAUCAACAGAGAUACUGACGCACAUUAUAAAUUGAUUGGCUCAAGCCAUUUAUCUAACUAGCAAGUAACCAGGGGAAACACGGCCAAGGUCUAAUGUUAAUUAGAUAAAGAUAACUAACAAUAUAAAUCAAUCUUUAUAUCUCAUGUGAUCAUAUACGUUUUUUUGUCAGGUAUGUGAUCACGAUCAUAUACUUAAAUUCACGAAUUAAGAGAAUUCCAAUUAAAAUUGAAAAAUUCAUACAUCUGUAAUAUAUUCAAAAAGCCAUUAGACCUAGAGUUAUUGCACCUUCAAUAGUAGACACAUCUACUAUACAGUAAAUAAAUGUAUAUAAUGUAUCUUAUGAAAACUGUAAUACAAUUGAAAGAAAGUAUUAAAUAACAAAUAUUAAUAUACAAGUACAUUUCUAAUACGAAUCAAGAUAUAUAAAACUAAAAAUAUUUAAUAGAUAUUAACAUGUAGAGAAAAUAGAAUAUUCUCCCACUACAAAUAAAUCUUGUGGCUGAUUCGACUUAGCAAAUUAAUAUGUGCUUACGAAUAUGAACUGGAUUCUUAUCAAUUUAAAUAUCAUUAUAAGGUAGUAAACUAAAAUCUGAUGAGGAUUAUAAUAAUUUAAAGGGUUGCGAUAAUGGCCAAAAAUGUUGCUUUGAAAGUGGUCUGGUUAUUAAAUAGUUAUAUACUCGAGUUGUGAUGUUUUAGUUUUGUCUAAGUUUGUUGUUAUGCUAUUUCAGUUUUCAUAUAUCCCUCGAUACAAUUUCACUACCCCCAAGACCACGAGCCCGAGUCCCUUGCACUAAUUUUAUAUAGGAUAGGACAUACUAUGACCUGGACCCUCUCAGUACUGUUGGAAAAUCAAUUGACACGUCCCUGAACUAUUCCGGUUUAACUGGUUAGGUACCUGACAAAAGGUUCUGCAUUCCAUGUCCUUUAACUUCUAAAAUUGUUUGGAUUAGGUCCUUCCAUUUAAAAGAUUCCGAUGGACGUCAAACGAUGCAGGCAAUUUUUUUUCAAAACCUGAUUACCCGACUUGUAAAUUGAAGGAAAAAUGAAAUUAAAAACAAAAAUAAGACAUACUAGCUGAUAUAUAGCCGUUAAUAGAUUGUUGGUAUACAAUAUUUAUACCAUCUUACUCUUGGAGCUUUCUUGACAAUUUUUGUGGGGACUCGGGUAUCUCGAACAAUUCUAGUUUAUUUCUUUAAAUUCCGCAACUGUUACGGCUUUUUACUGCGACUGGUGUGUUCUGAGUGAGUAGGUUGACAAUGUAACAGGUGGAGGAACUGCCGGAUGUAAAUUCCGUGGAGCUCGAGUCGUCAGUGUUAGUUAGCGUUUACAAAAAGAAUGAGUAUUGCUUUGUAUAUGUAUUUUCAGUAAGUAUAUGUAUUUACAGAAGUGAAUGUGUAUGCAUAGAUAUUGGGUGUGUAUACAAAGCAGAAAGAUGAGAAAGGGAUGGUGACCACCACCGCGACGGUGGCUAUGGCUGGCUGUGGUGGGUUGUUGAUGGAUGAAAGUGAGGUGAGGGUGAGUAUGUAUGUCGAUUGUCAGGGGACAGUGGGGAGAGAGGGGGAGGGAGAAUAUGACGUGUUGCACUAUUUUUCAAGUCACUUUAGUUCUUAUUUCAAUUCAUCCGAGUAAAUGUUAACCAAGCUACCACACCAGCUAGAUUAUAACGUCCGUUAAAAUCUAACUAAUGGAAGGACUUGAACCAGAUUUUUUAAAAGUUUAAUUACCUGAAAUGCAGAAUCUUUUGUUUACGGAUCUAGACAAUAAAACACGAAUAGUUCAGGGAUGUAUUAUUUAAUUUUCCCAAACUUUAUCUAAUUAUCUAAUAUAAGGACAAUUGUUCAGCUAAUACUCUUUCAUCCUACGUAAUGAGCUAAUUUUCCUCAAUCUGUCCUUUUAAAGAUUUUCUGAGUCUCCUCGUCAGAUUAUGCGUACUUGGUUCUUAAACGUCAUACUAUUUAUUUUGUUCCACGUGAAGAAUCUUAUAAUGAAUCUUACUAAGUCAGUUGCCAGAAGAUCAACCACCAAGUUCUAUCAACAAAAAUAAACCAGAUUAACACCCACUUUCAUAUAGAUGACAUCUAUGUCUUUUGGAAAGUCAAAACAUGACUUCCUAUAGAACACAGGUAAAAAUGCAGUUUGAUGUGAAAAUAUCUAAAGGUUAGACAUGUAAAUUAAUAAUCAAGAAUCGAAGACAUGUGAAAUCUGAUCAGUUUCUAACAACAAUGGGAAGAUCCACAACCACUGUUCACAUCACCACAAUGGAUAUUCACAAAAAGCUUACCG
RNAcentral lists this long non-coding RNA (2521 nucleotides) under Daucus carota (carrot). RNAcentral's name for it is "long non-coding RNA (DCAR_LNC005347)". The record is from RNAcentral. Lineage: Eukaryota; Viridiplantae; Streptophyta; Magnoliopsida; Apiales; Apiaceae.